Pogona vitticeps (central bearded dragon) is the source of this 365-nucleotide non-coding RNA. The record is from RefSeq and is a predicted model, not a curated record. Lineage: Eukaryota; Metazoa; Chordata; Lepidosauria; Squamata; Agamidae.
UCAUGCAGGGCUCUUAGCAUGGUGGAGAUUGGAAAGUGUGUAUGCCAUUCAUCCAACAUACACAACCCACCAGGAAGUUACUCAGGUCUGAUGAGUGCAAGCACCUGAAAAGGCACCUUUAAAAUGGGUUCAACUGGCCACAGUUCUGGACUGGGUCCUAAGCAUAAACUUCUCUGCCUUUCAAGUAAGUUUACAUCAUUCUGCCAAUUAGCCACUCUCACUGAUUAUACCAGGCCUAAACAUCUUUGCCCCAGACAUACAAUACCAUCUUAGUCAAGCUUCAACACCGUAGAGAGAUUCAUGUCUUGAGCAGAAGCCAGCCAAAUAUGAAAGAAGCCAUGCUGUAAGAAGUAUUCAUGAAGCCA